UGCCUGUGAUGCAUAAACAAAUGCACGUAUUAUCGGAUUUCUCCGUGACGAUCUCACAAAUGUUGUCACUACCACUGAGGCA
Molecule: small nucleolar RNA, 82 nt
Filed under: Oryza brachyantha (malo sina)
Lineage: Eukaryota; Viridiplantae; Streptophyta; Magnoliopsida; Poales; Poaceae
Description: Small nucleolar RNA snoR122
Rfam family: Small nucleolar RNA snoR122
Source: Rfam by way of RNAcentral